RNA transcript from Malania oleifera, 7920 nucleotides. RefSeq lists it as uncharacterized. NCBI's taxonomy places the organism in Eukaryota, Viridiplantae, Streptophyta, Magnoliopsida, Santalales, Ximeniaceae. The transcript is spliced from 8 exons. The record is from RefSeq and is a predicted model, not a curated record.
CAGAAGGUGUGUAAGUUAUUUUGGUGGGUCUGAGUGAGGGAGAGGCUUCUCUGACAUUUGGGAAUUCUACUGAGGUCCCUUUGUUUUUUUUAACUGUUGGGGGUAUACUAUUGGGACAUUUUUUCAAACUGAGGGAACCAUAAAACGCCAAUCUUAUAUUCUUAUUCAUGUGAAACGGCGUCGUCUCUGCCUCUUCUUCGUCAUCCUCCUUCCCCCAUCUUCUUCGCUGCCUACCAAACCCAGCGCCGCCCCGGCCUAGCACCGCCCAUGGCAAAGCAGCAUUUCGGAUGAACUUCCUUGGCAUCCGCGACGCAACAGUCCCUGUUCGACUAAAUCGGUCCUUCAGUGUCUAGAAACGCCGUUGCUCAGUUGACAAAAUCCCGCUGAUUGAUUCUCUCGAUUUUUUCAACAAUCUGACGUUUGCGGAAAGCGAACUACUGAGGUAUAACACGUUUCAUGGAAGCCACGGAACAGAUCCAUGUGAUGGAGAUGCCUCUGAUAGUUUUUAGGGAGACAGGAAGAAAGAGGAAUGAAGGGAUGCUUCAUUAGAAUAUAAAAUAAUAGACCCACUUCCCCCAAUCCAUCACUCUGUUUUGCUCCGAUCCUCUUUUGCGACUUAAAAUCUUUUCCCAGGUCUAUUCGUUUCCGUGGUUUCUGAGUUCAAUUAGUCCGCAGUAGCAGAUUCAAACCCUAGAACUCAACCUCCGAGCAUUCGAUCCACGAGUCUUAGCAGAUUAAUUGUUGUAAAAGGAUGCUAUUUUGCCAUGAGUAACUGGUCCUCGCCUUAGGCCCCGAACCUUUCUUCCCCGUGAAUGCCCUUAGAUACCAAAAUUUUCAGUCAGAUUUUUGCAUUUUACUUAGUGAUCCCGAAGUCAGAGGUUGAGGAAGGCUGGGUAUUUUUUAAAUUUCAGGCGAUUGACGAAAUUCAGGGAAGGUUAGUGUGUUUUGCGCUUCAGUUAUGGUGCAUUAUUUUGUGUUCUGUAAUUUCAGAACUAGGUUUGGGUUUUACUGCUUUUUCUGGGUAUAAUGAUUUAUAGGUAUUGGAUGUAUGCUUUUAUGCCCUGAAUUAGUUUUGUUGCUUUUGCUAUAAGGAUGUGCACUGGUGAGAAAGAAUGAUUGUGGGUUUUUACCUGCUUCUUGGAGCCCUUCGAAAAUUCUUGGUCAGCUUAUGAGGGGCUUGAAUUGAACUAGUUUGAUUGGAGAUUUGGCACUUGUUUAUGAUUUGUUGUGCUGCUUUCUAGGUUGAUUAUUGGUGUUAGAAUUUUUAGAUUUGUAAUUAUCUGUGGAUUGUUUAAUGUGUGAAUCUGUGGUUUUAUCUAUGUCAAAUUGGAUUUUGCAUUAACACACAUUAGGAUUUUGAUGUUUGUGGGAAAUGUAAGGUUGUUCUGCUAAAGCAUGAAUAGAGGCUUUGAUUUAUAGAGUAUUUAUAUGGGUUGCUUUUAUGAUAUCAUUAUUGCUUGUAAUCUAUCUAUAUAUAUGUGUGUGUACAUAUACAUGUGUGGUUAUGCAUGUGUAUGUUCACUGCAUUAGAUAUUGAAUCCUGUCUGUGUUUGUAUAAAACAGAUAUAUUUAUGAUCCUAUACUAUUAAUGGCUAUAUACAUAGUUACCGUACUGCCACAAUGUGUAUGCUUGUUAUCUUAUGAACUGAAUUGUGUCUGCACGACAAGUUCUGUAUGGUCAGCCCCUCCUAAAAGUUUUUUUUAAGAGAAUGAGAAAAAGAAAAGCACUGUCCGUUAAUUGAUGAUAUUCAUUCUAUUAUGGCUCUGGGAGGUGAUUUUGAGUAACUUCAAUUAUGCAUGUAGUCUGUAAGAAAAUGUGUGGGAGGGUAACUUGAUUUUGUUGUGGUUUUGAUGAGAGAGAGAAGAGUGGCUUCAUUAUGCGCCAUGGAGCUAAGUAGGUGUUUAAGCAUGUUGAGGAGCAAUGCAUCAUUGCAUCUUGUGCUUUGAGUUAAUAUUUAUGCAUGAGUUAAGUAUCUUUGUAAGUUUAAGUAGGAGUUCAGCCCUUUUUUGGAAUGUCGUAAGAAAUAAGUACUUUUUCAGAAAAUACUUUUUAUUUGUACGUAUGUCAAUAAGUAGUGUUUGGUUUACACUUAAAUAAGUACUUAUUCCAAAAAGUUACUUUUCGAAACUACUUUUUUUUUAAUAGGAAAAUAAGUAUUUUUUAAAAAAGUAAUUUUUUUUUUUUUUGAAAAAAAGUACUUAGUUGUAAAAGCACUUAUUAUAAGUAAGUACUUUUUCAGAUAAAUGCUUUUUCCAAAAAAAAACUUUUCUGUAAGUGGUUCCAAAUGAUUGGUUAUACAGGAGCAAUAGGUCAUAGUAUCUAGCGAUUCAAGUUAAUAGUUAUGCAUGAGUUAUGUAUCUUUGUGAACAUUUAGCAUCAUUGCCUAUUACGUUUUUUAUUUUUUGUGUGCUGUUUGCUUUUAAAUGUUAAGGCUUUUGGCAUAAUCUGUUUUGAAGGGGUUGAGACUUGAGAGUUUGGAUAUCUUUGUAAACUUGUUCUGAUUGCAUUUUCUUCCCUUGGCUCUUUAGGUUAAUAUAAUAUGAAGUUUGUUUAAAAAUAACUAUUGUGUUUAUCUACUUGUUUUUCUAGAAGGUCAAUGAGUUGAGGAUUUUGUACAUUUUCCUUUAAAUUAAUUUUCCAGUUGAAGUGGCUGUUGCAGCUUGAAAUUUAGCAGUCUCACUCAUCUGUUAAUUCUGCGAAACUAGUUCAAUGAUUGUUGGCUUCUCUCAUCAUUAUGUCUUCAGUGUUUUCAUAUUUAUUUAUAUUACUAAAUGUUUUUAUUAUGCUUUCAUUCCUUCUAGGUUUUACAUAGCUUUUCAGAACUUGACUUGCAGAAGUUGUCAUGCUUAUUAAAGUUUUACAGAUAAUUAAUAGACUUGAGGAUUCUUUGUGACCUGCUUGCACUGUUGGCAUGUCAUAUCCAUUUCCUGCUGAGAGAGAACCACACAGAGAGUCAGGUGUAUUUGUUUGGAUAAAUAGUUUAGUUUGUAUGCAUUUAAUACAAGAUGGGAUCUCGUGGAAGGCAAUUUUUUGAUCUUAAUGAACUUCCUGCUGAGGAGGACGAAGAGGAUGAUAAUUUCCUCCAUUUCCAGCCUCAAAAGGCACUUCCUACUUCAAAUUCCCACCCUUCUGAUAUGUUUGCAACUCAAGUUGAUCCCCAGAUAAUAGUCAACAACAAUGCCUUUUCCCAUGCAUCUUUUGUUUCGGGUUUUCAGCCUUUUUUCAGGCCCAAAUGUACCAAUGGCUUGGAAGAGAGUGUUGAGCAGAAGGGAACAUGGGAUCAAAAUUCCAAGGUUGCCUUGACAACAAGCUCAAGAAAUGCUAAGGAAAUUAAAGUUUCUCAACCACCAGAUUUGGGUUCUGCAAAUGCUCAAGCUGUUGCAAGAGAAGAAGGAGAAUGGUCAGAUGCAAAGGGCUUUGCUCAUGGGUACAAAAGUAGUAAUAUCAAUGAGAAUACAACUUUUGAGUAUGAUAAAGUUAAACAAGAGGGCAUGGUCGAGAUGAUGGAUAAUCGUGCAUUCAGCAUUUCCCCUGGGAAUAUUCCUUGUGAUGUCAAAACUCACAAAACUACAAAAGACAAUAAUAAUAGUUAUAAUUCUUUAGAGUUGGAUCCUGAAGCACAAGAUCAGAAAAUCAAUUGUAACGAGAAUCUGCAAGCCAGUGCUAAAGGUGAUGCAUCUAUCAGUGGUCAGGUAGAACCUGAGUUGGUUCUGAAACUAAGAGAAAAUAAAGGAGUUGAAGCAAGCCAUGCAUUGAAAUGUGCCAAUAAUCCUGGAAAGAGGCAGAAGCUUGAUCAGCAGAAAGAAGCCAUGCUUGGAAAAAAACGUAGCAGACAGACAGUGUUUCUUAACUUGGAAGAUGUUAAGCAAGCUGGUCCCAUUAAAACUUCAGCCCCAAGAAAGCAGAACCUUCCAUUACCUGUUACUACUCGAACUGUGAAAGAAGUCCGUACUGUUCCUGUGCCUGCUGAACGCACUGGAGAAAAGCAGAGUCAGACAAUGACUAAUAAGGAUAAGCAAGUUGAUUUAUCAACGGAUUAUGGAGGCUCACACAUGGAAACUGGUGAAACCAAAGCUGAAUAUAAUGGUGAAAUGAGUUCUGGAGUUCUAGGCAGGCCUAGAAGAAUAAAUAGCACCAGUGAUCUCUCUGCAGGGAUAUACCCACCGCCCAAUCCAAGGCAGGGUUCAUGGAAGCAUCCCUCAGAUUUGAGGCAGCCGAAGAAUUUGCAGGUGUCCUUGAGGAAGCCUGCUCUGGUUGGUCAAAGUUCAAUGGAUCUUAAACUGGGAAACAAGAAACUUCCACCCCCAAAGAAGCAAGUUGGCGUUAAUACCCAGUAUCAAGAUACAUCAGUGGAGCGCCUUCUGCGGGAGGUGACCAAUGAAAAGUUUUGGCACCACCCAGAGGAGACUGAGCUCCAACGUGUUCCUGGUCGGUUUGAAUCUGUGGAAGAGUAUAUCAGAGUUUUUGAACCUUUGCUUUUUGAGGAGUGUCGAGCUCAACUUUACAGUACUUGGGAGGAGUUGACAGAGAUGGUUUCAAGAGAUCUACAUGUAAUGGUUCAUUUAAAAACUGUUGAAAGACGAGAAAGAGGAUGGUAUGAUGUCAUUGUGGCUUCUGCAAAUGAAUGCAAGUGGACAUUUAAGGAGGGUGAUGUCGCAGUUCUCUCAUCCACUAGGCCUGGAUCAGUCAGAACAAGGAGGGCCAACACGAUAUUGGCAGAUGAUAGUGAGGAUCCAGAGAUUAAUGGACGUGUGGCUGGCACUGUAAGGCGACAUAUACCUAUUGAUACUCGUGAGCCUCUAGGGGCUAUUCUUCAUUUUUAUGUUGGGGACUCAUAUGACUUUAACAGCAAGGUAGACAACGAUCAUAUUUUGAAUAAACUUCGUCACAAAGGUGUUUGGUAUCUGACUGUGCUUGGAUCUCUUGCAACCACCCAACGGGAGUAUGUUGCCUUGCAUGCAUUUCGUCGCCUCAGUUUACAGAUGCAAACUGCAAUUCUUAAGCCUAGUCCAGAACAGUUUCCAAAAUAUGAGGAGCAGCAUCCUGCCAUGCCCGAGUGCUUUACUCCAAACUUUGUUGAUUAUUUACAUAAGACUUUCAAUGGACCCCAGCUAGCAGCAAUUCAAUGGGCUGCGAUGCAUACAGCUGCUGGUACAAGUAGUGGGACAACAAAGAGGCAAGAUCCAUGGCCCUUUACUCUAGUUCAAGGGCCUCCAGGAACAGGUAAAACACAUACAGUUUGGGGAAUGCUUAAUGUGAUCCAUCUUGUUCAAUAUCAGCACUAUUACACUGCUCUGCUUAAGAAGUUAGCUCCUGAAAGCUAUAAGCAAGCUAAUGAGAGCAUUUCUGACAAUGCUGCCAUGAGUUCAAUUGAUGAAGUUCUUCAGAACAUGGAUCAGAAUCUCUUUCGCACUCUUCCAAAACUCUGCCCAAAACCUAGAAUGCUUGUUUGUGCUCCUUCUAAUGCUGCAACCGAUGAGCUGCUUGCACGCGUUCUCGAUCGUGGAUUCAUUGACGGUGAGAUGAAAGUGUAUCGGCCUGAUGUUGCCAGAGUUGGGGUUGAUACACAAACACGUGCUGCACAGGCAGUGUCUGUGGAACGAAGAAGUGAACAGCUUCUAAUGAAGAGUCGUGAUGAAAUAUUUGGUUGGAUGCACCAGUUAAGACAUCGUGAAGCUCAAUUGUCUCAGCAGAUAGCUAGUCUUCAAAGAGAUCUCAAUAUGGCAGCUGCUGCAGGUCGUUCCCAAGGAUCUGUUGGUGUUGAUCCUGAUGUGCUUAUGGCUCGGGACCAGAAUCGAGAUGCAUUACUGCAGAACCUUGCAGCAGUGGUUGAGGGCAGGGAUAAAAUUCUGGUUGAAAUGUCCCGCCUUAUUAUUUUGGAAGGCAGAUUCCGCGCUAGUAGUGGCUUUAAUUUGGAAGAAGCCCGUGCUAAUCUUGAGGCAAGUUUUGCCAAUGAGGCUGAAAUUGUUUUCACUACUGUGUCAAGCAGUGGUCGCAAGUUGUUCUCUCGUCUCACCCAUGGCUUUGAUAUGGUUGUUAUUGAUGAGGCAGCACAAGCCAGUGAAGUAGCAGUUCUUCCUCCCCUUGCUCUUGGUGCAGCACGGUGUGUUCUUGUUGGGGAUCCCCAACAGCUGCCUGCUACAGUUAUCAGCAAGGCGGCUGGAACUUUGUUAUACAGCAGAAGUCUCUUUGAAAGGUUUCAACAGGCAGGCUGCCCAACAAUGUUAUUGUCUGUGCAGUAUAGGAUGCAUCCUCAAAUCCGCGAUUUCCCUUCCAGAUACUUCUAUCAAGGACGCCUUACAGACAGUGAAAGCAUUGCUAGUUUGCCUGAUGAGAUAUACUACAAGGAUCCAUUACUGAGUCCUUACUUGUUCUACGAUAUUACACAUGGUCGGGAGUCCCACAGAGGUGUAUCUGUCUCUUACCAGAACAUACAUGAAGCACAAUUUUGUCUUCGUUUGUAUGAGCAUCUCCAGAAAACUCUGAAAUCGUUGGGUGCGGGGAAAAUCUCUGUUGGCAUAAUUACACCUUACAAGUUGCAACUGAAAUGCCUUCAGCGUGAGUUUGAGGAUAUUUUAAAGUCAGAAGAAGGGAAAGAUUUGUAUAUUAAUACUGUAGAUGCUUUCCAAGGUCAGGAACGCGAUGUCAUUAUUAUGUCUUGUGUCCGUGCCUCAGGUCAUGGGGUGGGCUUUGUGGCUGAUAUCCGCAGAAUGAAUGUUGCGCUUACUCGUGCAAGAAGAGCUCUUUGGGUUAUGGGAAAUGCUAAUGCUCUAAUGCAUUCUGAGGAUUGGGCUGCGUUGAUUACUGAUGCUAAAGCUAGGAAUUGUUAUAUGGGCAUGGAUUCUCUUCCCAAGGAUUUUUUGGCAACAAAGGGACCAACCUACCCUCACGUGCCAAGUAAAAUCUCCAACAUGAGGGUUCUGAGAUCAGCCGGACCAAGACUUAGAUCAUUGGAUAUGCAGCAACAGGUGGAAUCCAGGUCAGGAACCCCAUCAGAAGAUGAUGAGAGGUCAAGUGCACUAUUAGUUUCUAAGAAUGGGAAUUAUUGAUCCUCAAAAGUAACCAAUGGAGAAUUCUUUGCAUGAUUCAGAUCAAUCUUCUGAAAAAUGCUGAGAUGACUGGCAAUUUGACCUUCAGAAGGAUACAUAUGCUGCUGAGGGUUGUGAGGAAGAGAUAUUCCUAGCUGAUGGUUCUCACUUUUGACUGACUGCAAAUUCUCUGUAACCAAAAGACAAGGGGAAAGGGAGUUGGAAGAGGAUGUUGAGCUUAUGCAAGUGGCUUGUUGCUCUUGUUGAACCGAUUCCUGUGAUUUUCCUGAAGGAGCUGCAUUGGGUUGGUUGCUGGAUAUUUACUGUUGAUUCCACCAUUUUACUGGGCCCUAUGCAUGGCAUUGACUAUCUCUCUUCUGUGCAAUAGAACAUGCAAGUUGCUACUUCUCACCUGAUGAGAACUUCGCCAGGGCUUCCAUCUCUUCCUCUCUCUAGUGAAGCUUCUGAGUCGAGCUCCCGAUUUUGUAGUUCUGUUCUCACAAUGUACAGCUGCUGACUAAUUUGAUAUUCAGAACUUUGAUGAAUCGGCUAAUCUCCAACACGGUUCACUAUUGAAAGUUGCUGAAAUAUAUUCUUGGGAUGGGCAAAUGUAUUCUUGGUACAGGGAGACACUUCCGGAUAAUGUCUCAAAAGUAUAUCUAAAAUCUUGGGGGCUAAUUGAAUCUUCCUCUUAUUUUGAUUGUUUAAUGAGCCAUGAAGUGUGAAAUUUGUUUCAACUGAAAAAAAAAAAAGGUAUACCAAAAUUUCUGUAUAGAAAGGUCUUGUUCAAAUAUUGUAUUAGAUCCUUUAGAGGCAUUUGGAACGUCGGCAGAUUUGUACAUACAUCUUCACCUGCGGAAUAGAAGAAUUCUUUUGAUGUUUUGUUUAAAA